UGAUGCUAGUAGUGUGUUUUUCUUCAAUCCUUCCCAUACAUGUCGUACGUGGACGGAUAUACCAAUCAAGUCAAGUCAUGCUUUUGACGGAUACAGACAGGGAGGACUCGAGGGUGUCUAUUUUAUUUCAUUUGCUCCAGCUCUCUGUUGUAUCGCUUCAGCCGAAAUGAUGUGUUCCUUUCUGUAGUUACGGCGGGAGGAGGGGAGGGAGGACUAUUUACAGACCGCAAACUUCCCCGCGAUGACUUGAUGGUUUCUAUGCAUUCGCUGCAGCUUUGGGCGGUGAAAUCUGGAAGCAUCACAGAGACAG
RNAcentral lists this small RNA (310 nucleotides) under Histoplasma ohiense. Its description in RNAcentral is "hypothetical lncRNA". Lineage: Eukaryota; Fungi; Ascomycota; Eurotiomycetes; Onygenales; Ajellomycetaceae. The record is from RNAcentral.